RNAcentral lists this ribosomal RNA (253 nucleotides) under uncultured bacterium. RNAcentral describes it as "partial 16S ribosomal RNA". It matches the Rfam family "Bacterial small subunit ribosomal RNA", at positions 524 to 776 of the family's 1533-position model. The record is from RNAcentral.
UACGAAGGGGGCUAGCGUUGCUCGGAAUGACUGGGCGUAAAGGGCGCGUAGGCGGUUUGGACAGUCAGAUGUGAAAUUCCUGGGCUCAACCUGGGGGCUGCAUUUGAUACGUUCGGACUAGAGUGGGGAAGAGGGUCGUGGAAUUCCCAGUGUAGAGGUGAAAUUCGUAGAUAUCUGGAGGAACACCGGUGGCGAAGGCGGCAUUCUGGACCGAUAUUGACGCUGAGGAGCGAAAGCCAGGGGAGCAAACGGG